AGCAGCCCAAUGUGGGUGUCAUCCUCCACACUGUACAGUUCUCCUUCCACAAGGAGAGACUCUAAGCGACCUUCAGGUGAGAAGCCGGUCAUGGUCAUGGUGGAACUCAGUUCUCGUGUCCUGUUCUUCGGAGGCCUGAGACCGAGCACCUCCACUCAGACCUUGCCCUCAAGGGGCAGGAAGAAUGGACAGGGCCUGCCCCUGGGCCCGGAGCUUCCAGAACUGACACGUGGAGAUACUGAUGCCCACCUUUCCUGCAGACCACCCCAGGAAAUGGGCAAGAAGGCCCACCAUUGCUGUCAUGAUAUUCAUGGACUGGGGCCAGAACCUGGCAACAAAGGGACUCUGGAAAGAAGCAGGCAGAUGGAUCGAGUCAUCAGUGGCAGGCUUCUGUGCCGCUGUGACAAAUCCUGUGGGCCACUGACCUCCAGACCCUGGGACAGUCUCUGUCUGCAAGCAGGACCACGUGCAGACAGAUACUGAAGCUACGUUUUUAAAAUGUUGUUCUUCAUUUAGCAAGGUGGGGCAGGUGACAGCAAACUCAAUAUGGCUCCUGGUUAGUGGCUCCGCAUGUUCGCUGCACGGACAGACACGUGCUGGCAGGCCACCACGGCGAGACACGAGCUCGGCAAAUGGGAGUGCACCUUCGGCAUCCUCUAUCCAGAGCGAAUGCCGGGAGUGGUCGUGAUGAGAAAUGGGCUUGACACUUCAUAACCUCUGGGAGAGAUGGCUUUCUUUUCUAAACAUUUAAUUACUCAGUCAUGUCGUGCAUUCAAACCCAAUUAUAAUUUAGUUUUUCGGAGAAUUUCAAAAGCUAUUCCCAGUCGGAAUUGCGCUGAAGACUCCAUUUUAUCAUCCAACAGUUCACACUUUAAUACGGGCUUAAAAAAAAACAAACAAACAAGCAAACCAGUAGUUUAAAAGUAGGAGAGGCAUUUGACAAGACCUUGGACAUGGCUCCCUAACAGGCAAUUCUUAUGGAGUAAGGAGGAGAUAAUGUCAUUUCCUAGCUUCUCUCUGGACUUGGCUCCAUUGCUAGGAGUGCAUGUGGGCACAUCAGGGAAGGGAGGAAUAAGAGAAAUGCCCUGCCUCUCGUUUAUCAGAGGAAACCUGUCCACAAGUCCUGGAGGGCUCCAGCCAGGUGUGUUUUGUCGAGGGUCUGCACAAAACAGACUUGGCUUUUAUUGUAAUGGAGGGCAGUCAAUGAGCAGCAAAAGUUGUGAAUAUGGGACGCUUUCUGCACUGUAGGUUAGGAAAUCAUAGGCCAGCAGCCAGUGCAAGUUUUGAAUUUCCCUGAGAAACCUCUCUCGCUCUCACGCCGUGGGUCCUGGAAAGGAAGUUUCCAUUCCCACCAGCAGCCUGGCGGCUCACACACUCUAGAUUAGAAGAUACACACGUUGGUCCAGUUAGAAAACCCAACAGCUGGGAAGAGCUAGCAUUCAACUUGUUGAGCCUCCUAGAAAGAAAAAUGAAAGGUUAAGUGACUUAAAUCUGUGGAAAGGAAUGCGUUUUCUUUUGUGUGUUUCCGCCUGCCACUGGAGAGCAAGGCCACGUCCAGGGAGUCGCUGAGGUCCGACUGUGGGGCUCCACAGGGAGCUACGGGGCGUGCCCAUCUGGCCUCUCCUGUGCCAUCGCAACACUGACAUCGCCAAAAACCGCCAGGGAAACGUGCAGCUAGUUUCUUGGCAACGUAAAGGAAACGAUGGGAAGAAUCCUUUGUUACUGGGAACAGGUAACAUCGCCCCGCAGGCCACGGUUCUUCUGCAGCUGCCUGUGCGAUCUGGUCCAUUGAUUCCACCACUGGGAGUGCGUUAGCUAGGAGACCCCUCAUCAGAGUUGAAAAUGGCCUUGGCACCCAGUUCUUCUCCCCGCUUGGGCGGACCAGAGGUGUGGCUCUCGGGGAGAGUGGCUGACUCCCGAACAGCCUUUCAGUGAAUGGGAACGUUGGGCCUGAAACCCAGGUCCCUGCCAUUAGCCCGAGGUUCUCAUUGCAGGAUUUCUCCGUGGACUGUCUCUGUGUUUGGGGGGUGAGUACAGGAGGGAAUCAAGAAGCUGGGAGGGUGACAUGCAAGUCCAUGACCCUCUUCCCCUUCUCUAAAGGGUAGACACCCUCCAUCUCAAUGGCAGUUAGAGAAAGCAAGCAAAACUCCCAGGCGGCAGUAUUACUUCCUGAGCCUUGUCUCAAAUGGGGAUGGUAUCUUCCCUUUGGAGCCAGAGGUAAGAUAUGAGUCUGGGACGUGUGCCUUCUUUGUAAAUCUGGAAGGCUGCCUUAAGGUUCUAAAUGAUACUGAGAUUUGCUAAAGUCCACCUUGUCAAUAGCUCUUUUUGUUGGAUAUUUAAAGUUCAGGAGCUUUGUUUGCUUUGGUUAAGUGCUCUCAAGUGUUUCAACAGCCACUGACCGGUUUAUAUAAACAAACGAAGGAACACACCGAUAGUCCCUGAUACCGGAAGCAGCUUGAGUCUAACGAGUAGCAGAAAUCCUCAGUGACUUACAGAUAAGCCGUCCACACACCUGCCCAGUGCACUUCACUUGGUGAAACAACAACAGGUGUGUGCCCAUGACUUUGAAUGGGUUAAGAGGGAACGACUGGGGGAAAAAUAUUUACUGCUUAAAGCAUGUGUUUCUUGAAAUUUAUUAAUUGGAGAACAUUUGGUUAAAAAGUACAAUGCUAACCCUGAUACCAUUAUUUGUUUUUAAGGGAUAAAUUUUCUUUUGUUGCUGGUCGUCUCAUUUCUGCUUGAGAUGAUUUUAAUUGGGUUUGUUAGGAAAUUGGUUUCCUCCAAGUAUUAGUUAUUUUAUAUAAUUUGUCAUCCAUUCAGAUCUUGACAGAGUAUCAUUAUUUCUUAAGGAAACUCCAUUAAAGGACAGUGACUUUUUAAGCUCCUUGGGCUCAAUGCUUAUCUAUGCAUAGGGGAAAUUUUUAUCAUCACUUGAUGUCAGCUUCAAACAACUCUAACAACAUGUAUUUCCAUCUUUAUAGAGAAAGAUGAUCGAAGUCCGACAUCCUCUAAGCUAUUAUACCAGAGUUUUCAGACACUUAAAAGGUGGUAUGUUUGUUCCAAAGUUCUUAGUCCUACCUGCUCUGCUUGGCUGGGUGCCGGAGAGUCACAGAGGGGCUUUGCAAUGUGGAAGUUGGAGGUGGGAGCUUUGGAUCCACAUAUCCCACUUUAAAAGCUCAGCUUUUGGCAUGAAUCUCCUACACUGUAAUCAUAAAACAGAGAUCAUAAUAUCCAACACAUCAUUGUGGGACCCGAUUGAGACACUGGACUAGGUUUCAUCACAUGGACUUUUCAAUAUGUGACCAUUAUUUACAACAUUUCACCAUGAUAAGCCCCGAGGUUCACCUGGUUUUGUUGCAUGGCUAUAGCCUUUCGAGAAUUUCCCAUCAGACCGAAGCGCCCACUGAACAGCAGCUUCAAAGACAGAGAGUGCAGGCCGGGCGGAGGGGAAUCUGAGUUUACCAGCGAGGAGGAGGCUCGGGGCUGGGCCAGGAGGAGGGAGCGGAGGAGGGGGGAGGGAUGAGCGCAGACCCUGCCGGCGGCUCUUCUUGCCACGUGUCUGCAGGCGGCAUUUGGCCCAACCCUGCUGUGUCCUCAUUAGCUCGCGCUUUUCUGUGAAUGAUCACUUUUAUAACUGGAUCGAUAAAACCAAGCCAGGCUCUAGAAACUUCAUAAUGUGCUUUAUUUUAGACAUAUUUUCAAAAAA
Phyllostomus discolor (pale spear-nosed bat) is the source of this 3706-nucleotide long non-coding RNA. RefSeq lists it as uncharacterized. The transcript is spliced from 2 exons. The record is from RefSeq and is a predicted model, not a curated record. Lineage: Eukaryota; Metazoa; Chordata; Mammalia; Chiroptera; Phyllostomidae.